Molecule: non-coding RNA, 207 nt
Organism: Pelobates cultripes (western spadefoot toad)
Lineage: Eukaryota; Metazoa; Chordata; Amphibia; Anura; Pelobatidae
Source: the annotation of a GenBank genome assembly
CAUUGGUCCCCUUCUGGCUAUAUGCAGGUGUGUUACACUAUAGUCUAACAGUGGAUACACGAAUACUAUAGCAUUUUUAUAACUAGCCUAGUAUAAUGUUACUUGACGAUAUUGGUAUGUAAUUCCUAACCUAACAUGUCUCCUAGCCAAACAAAUCCUAUUGCUACGUUUGCAUCUAACCUGUAUUAUGACCCCGGCUGGAUGGAC